Molecule: long non-coding RNA, 1011 nt
Organism: Suricata suricatta (meerkat)
Lineage: Eukaryota; Metazoa; Chordata; Mammalia; Carnivora; Herpestidae
Exons: 7
Source: RefSeq, a predicted model, not a curated record
GCGCGCACGCGCCACAACGCCAGCGCUUUCCCCGGCUCGUGCGGGGCCUGAGCCUCUCGGCCCGCGCCGGCUCCAUUCGCGCUAGCUGGCUCCUGCCGCCGCGUCCGCCAGGGUCGAGCGGGAGUUUGAGGAGUUGGAUGGUGAGACUCGCUGGCAGCUGCUGUACUUGAAACAAGCAGCCAUCUCGGAAUUCUAAAUGAUGAGGAGGACCAGUCUGAGGCCAAGAUGAGCUUGCCUUUCUUUGCCUGAAGAAGCCAUGUUGCGUCGUUCCAGUGAUAUUCAUUUGUAAAUCUGACAAGGUGACUUCCGGUGAUACUGAGAACGAUACUUAUUGUGGAAUCAGUCUCUUGCUGUGAAAAAACUGUAGAUGGUAAGAUAUCCCGGAGUUGAAGGAGGUUGAGCCAAGUCCUGAGAAGACGUGCUUGCCUCUCACGGAGUAUCCCAGCGGUGUGGAAGACGGUAGCUGCUGUGUGUGAAACCAGGAGCCAAGCACUAAGAGUCCUUGUUCCAUCAAAUACACGAACGUUAACAGAUGCUGUGUUAGAACACCUGUCUGCCCUCAAACCAGAUGAUGACGAGCCAUCAGGUGUGGAGCUACACUCAAGUCGGCAUCAAUGAGACAGGGUCCCUGGGAACAGUUGGCUUACACCUGCUGCUUUGUAGCUGGAGAGUGGGAGAUCUGAAAUCAGAAAGACAGCUUGUUUUGUUCUUUGAAUAUAAUAGAAGCGUUCUGCCUCUGGGCUCUGAAUGUGCUCUCUUGAUGAGUGCCAUGACGACAGCAAAAUAGUCUAGAAGAACUUCCAAGGCAGGUGACUGUGAAGAUGGCUGACAGUAUCGAAUGUCAAGGUUUCUCUGAAUGAGCCAACCUCUCACAAGUAAGAUAAUGACCCAAAUAGGAGACUGAGAAUGGAAGAUACAAAUGGACAGUGGCCUGGCCAUAUACAGCAAUAGGACUCUGACCUGGGGUCUGCAGCAACCAGCCCAGGAAGUCAACCCAUUUUCUAUAGCUUC